Molecule: ribosomal RNA, 493 nt
Filed under: uncultured bacterium
Lineage: Bacteria
Description: partial 16S ribosomal RNA
Rfam family: Bacterial small subunit ribosomal RNA
Source: RNAcentral
GACGAACGCUGGCGGCGUGCUUAACACAUGCAAGUCGAACGGUGAAGGGACCUGUUUUUGCUGGUUUUGGAUGAGUGGCGAACGGGUGAGUCACACGUGAGUAACCUGUUCCCUUCUUCUGGAUAACCGCAUGACAGUUUGUCUAAUACGGUAUAUUCUUCGCCUGUUGCAUGUUGGGUUUGGGAAAGAUAUUGUUUCGGUGGGGGAUGGGCUCGCGUUCUAUCAGCUUGUUGGUGGGGUGAUGGCCUACCAAGGCGGUGACAGGUAGCCGGCCUGAGAGGGUGGACGGACUGAGAGGGACAGAGGCACCACACAGACUCGGAAGGGAGGCAGAAGUAGGGAAUAGUGAACAAUGGGAGAAAGCCUGAUGCAGGGAGGCCGCGUGAGGGAUGGAGGCGUGCGGGUUGUAAACGUCUUUCGCGAGUAAAGCAGGCCUGUCCCUAUUGUGGAUGGGUUGACGGUAACUGGACAAGAAGCGACGGCUAACUACGUG